RNAcentral lists this ribosomal RNA (663 nucleotides) under Arthrobacter sp. RNAcentral describes it as "bacterial SSU rRNA". It matches the Rfam family "Bacterial small subunit ribosomal RNA", at positions 107 to 784 of the family's 1533-position model. Lineage: Bacteria; Bacillati; Actinomycetota; Actinomycetes; Micrococcales; Micrococcaceae. The record is from RNAcentral.
UGAGUAACACGUGAGUAACCUGCCCCCGACUUUGGGAUAAGCCCGGGAAACUGGGUCUAAUACCGGAUAUGACUUCUUACCGCAUGGUGGGUUGUUGAAAGAUUUAUCGGUGGGGGAUGGACUCGCGGCCUAUCAGCUUGUUGGUGAGGUAAUGGCUCACCAAGGCGACGACGGGUAGCCGGCCUGAGAGGGUGACCGGCCACACUGGGACUGAGACACGGCCCAGACUCCUACGGGAGGCAGCAGUGGGGAAUAUUGCACAAUGGGCGAAAGCCUGAUGCAGCGACGCCGCGUGAGGGAUGACGGCCUUCGGGUUGUAAACCUCUUUCAGUAGGGAAGAAGCGAAAGUGACGGUACCUGCAGAAGAAGCGCCGGCUAACUACGUGCCAGCAGCCGCGGUAAUACGUAGGGCGCAAGCGUUAUCCGGAUUUAUUGGGCGUAAAGAGCUCGUAGGCGGUUUGUCGCGUCUGCCGUGAAAGUCCGAGGCUCAACCUCGGAUCUGCGGUGGGUACGGGCAGACUAGAGUGAUGUAGGGGAGACUGGAAUUCCUGGUGUAGCGGUGAAAUGCGCAGAUAUCAGGAGGAACACCGAUGGCGAAGGCAGGUCUCUGGGCAUUUACUGACGCUGAGGAGCGAAAGCAUGGGGAGCGAACAGGAUUAGAUA